CCUGCAUUUAAUUUACUUUUAGCAUAGAAUGUAGCAUAUUAUUACCUUUAGAAUUUCUCAUUUCAGAUGAAAAAAAAGUCAAGCUUUUAGAGUAAUUGCAAAUUUUUUAAAGAGACCUCAGUGAAAGCAGAGAGGUGAGUUUCCAUGGCAAUCUCUGAACAACGCAAAGGGAAGGGAAGAAGAGGGGAGCAUUUAAUGAGCACUUACAUGAUGUUAAGCAGUGUGCUUGGCACUUUACGGAAAAUAUCUGUCUAAAACACGGGAAAAUGCUGUGAGGUCAUGGUUUUAGGGAAGAACAAGCGGACUCCAAGGUAGAGAGACUUACCUCAGUUAACCGUUUAGAAUGUGGCCCAAAUGGGGUCUGGCCCUCCUUUGCUGCACCGUUGAGUUUCCUGCGAUUGCACCUUCUUUCUGCUGCUCACGCUCUAUGCCCCAUGUUUCCCAGGCUUAUUCCUCUUUGUUCCCAGACUUCCUCAAGGCUUCCCCAGGGUUAAUAUACAAACCUCCCUCUCCAGCCCGAUCUCUCACCAGCACCUCAGGCCCCUAUUUCCUUCUGACAAUGAGAUAAAUAUCCUUAGAUAGAUUAUCUUUCCUACUCAGAGAGAGUCUUCCUUGUGGCAGAAAGCCUAUGAGAAAAGUUGAAAGAGUGAUGGCAGGGUGAAACCACCAUGCUACAACCAGCCUACUACGGACCAGCUGUGCAAGAAUCAUCAACGGAAGCCAAAUCUGGGGGGAAGUUUGACGAGGGGCAGAAUAUCUGCGUGGUCUCAAAGGCUCUCUGCACAGAUUGCUUGUUAGCUGAAAGGCGAAAAACAGUAACUGCACAAUGGAGAAAUGGGAUGAGACUUGGUGUGAUCAAAAUUGACCUUAGCAGAGAGGAGCGGAUGGACAUCACAUGCCCCUGGACGUGAUGCAUUGAGAAGGAAACCCCAUCACCUAUGAGUAACUUGAAUCUAAUCACAAGGAAACAUCAGACAAACCCACACUGAAGAACAGUCUACAGCCGGCCUCGAUUCUUUAAAAACGUCUGGGUAUGAAAGUGAGAAGGACUGAGGAACCUUCUAGAUUAAAGGAGAGUAAACAGACAUGGCCACUAAAUGGAGCAGAUCCUGUACUGGACAUGUAAGUGCUUAAAGGACACUAUUGGGACAAUUGACAAACAUGGGAUAUUGGAAGGUAAAUUAGAUGUAAGUAUUGGAACAAUGUUAAGUUUCCUAAAUGUAACAAGAUUGUGGUUAUUUAAGAGAAUAUUCUUAUUGUUAGGAGUUACACACUGAAAUAUUAAGAAGUAAAAGGGCAGACUGUAUGUAACUUUCAAAUGAUUCAGAAAAACAAAUAAUCAUUUUAGAAUUUAUAAUUUACACACAGGUAAGUAUGUAUAUGCAGAUCUAUGUGUCUCUAUAAAUGUUUGUUUAUACAUAUAUAGAGAGAGAGAGAUGAUAAAACAAAUGUGGCAAAAUGGUAAAAAUUGGUGAAUCUGGUAAAAGUACAUCCAGAAGUUUUCCAGAGAAAGAGACUAUAUUUCCAGCAAUUAAAUGAGCUUUAGAAGUUUAAACAAAUUGAAGUUUCUAUUAAUAGCUAGCAAUUACUGUUUGCCCCUUGUUUGCUAUGGGUUCUCCUAGGCAGGUUAUCGGUAUUCUUUCUAAACUUUCUUAAGAGCUCUGGAUCUGGAAAUUAUGUCUUCAUUUUCAUGUUUAGAUAUGAGGAAAGUGAAACAGGCUACUCAAUGCAAGAUGUGGUGGAGUCCUGGAUUUGAAUUUGUUUUGGGUUCACUUCCUUUCACUGUGAUGUCAGGAGCCUUCAGGUACUCAUGGGCCAUAUGGAGAGCGGUGAAGGAAGAUAGACAAGCAACUAGAUACCGUAGUGUGGUGUUAAAUUCUUCCAACCAGUGUUUAUUGAACAUCUGCUAGGUUCCAUGAGUUACACUAAGCUCUCUGGGACCAGAGCUGUGGACAGCAGAGACCCGGGCCUUGCCUCCCAGAACUUCCACUGCAGGGGAUGUGAUGGACACUAGUGAGCAUAAGCGCUACGGAAGCACAAGGAGGGGCAUCUCAUCCAGACCAAGAGGGUAAGGCAGGCCUCUCAGAGGGGAGGUGACUGCUGCCAUCACGGAUUUUCAGAGAUGGGAGAACCUGUGAAAUCUUGCUUAUCCCUGUGUUCUAAAGACCUGGCACAUAGGCAUUUCCCUAACUAGUGAAUCUGGAAAAAGGACAUACAGGUGUUCUCUCUUGUGUAUAGCAUGUACUACUCCUAAUUGAUAGGAUGAGUGAGUGAAUGAAUGAAUGAAUGAGUGAGUCAGUGAAAGAGUGAACAAAUUUCCACCUGUAACUGCAAGGAACCCAGUGGGACGAGCUCUCCCAGGAGGUUAUUCUCUCUCUCAUCCUUCCAAGGUCACCAGAGUGAGUGGGUCAGCUCCAGCAAGUCUUUCCCUCUUUGAUUGGGCAGUGAGAAGGAUUUGGGGGCGGCAGCAUGGUGACUAACCAUAGCCAUGGGGGUUCCUGCUGCCCCUGCUUCUGUGUUCUGAUUUCAGAGGAGAUGAAACGCUUUAUUAAGAAAAGCCAUUUAGGUCUCUCUCUUUUCCUGAGUUGCUCAACCUUUUUCAGACCCCGAUAUUCACAGAGGAGAACAAAGCCGCCUUCCCGAAGCUGUACUUUGGGUUUUGUUCUUGCUGAAGCCAUGAGAAGCCAGCAGCCCGCGUGCCUCUGUAGAACCAUGCAUUGACCUGAUGAGGUUUGGAGUACAGGUGGCAAAUGUUGUAAUUCCUGCUCUGCAGUGGAGAUGACUGAACUCAGAGAAAUGAAAUGAACUGACCCAGAUCUCACAAAUGACUAAGUAUCACUUUAAACCAUUGGUUCUCUGGGCUAGCCCGGUGGCUAAGUGAUUAAGUUCACGAACUCUGCUUAGGUGGCCUAAGUUUUGCUGGUUCGGAUCCUGGGCAUGGACAUGGCACCGCUCAUCAGGCCAUGCUGAGGUGGCAUCCCACAUGACACAACCAGAGGCACUCACAACUAGAAUAUGCAACUAUGUGCUGGGGGUGCUUUGGGGAGAAGAAUAAGAAGAAAAAAGAAGAUUGGCAACUGAUGUUAGCUUAGGCACCAAUCUUUAAAAAAAAAAAAAACACACUGGUUCUUGAUCAAGGAUAAUUUUGCCUCCAGAGGACGGUUGGCAAUGUUUGGAGACUGGAGAUUGUCACAAUGGGUUCCUAUAGGUUCAAUGGAGAUCAAGAUCCAAGCUUGGCCUACUUUCCACACGACUGAGGUAGAGACAACUCAGGGUACGAUAUAUUGAAUGUUGAAAUAUUCCUCUUCCGGCCCCAGCAAAGUUUGGAAAAGAGAUCAGUGGCAGAAACAGACUGAGAAAAUAAGAUGGUGUGGUCCACAUUCCUCCCCAGUUUGGGGUUUGGCCCGGGCAAGAGUGAGGGCUUUAAAAACAUUCAAAAAGGUUUGGGGGAACUCAAAACAUAAGGAAGAAACUGAUGACAUGAUUCUCCAAGCAGAGCUUCAGAAAGCUGUCAGCCCACAGGAGAAAUACUUCAUGUGGCCACAUUCAGCACGGACAGAAGUGAGGUUGAACUAUUGGUAGAGGGAGAAAGCAGGACUGUGGGCCUGAGAAAGCAUCACUGACUCUCCAAGGCCUGGGAGAAAGUUAUAGGGGUCUAGAAUUUCACCACUGGUAUAAGGAGGGGAUGGAAUAUUACUGAGAGUGCUGAUGGCUUACCAGAGUCAUGACUUGAAAGAGGACACAGUGUGUGAGAACUCUGGUCCCUCAGUAGAAAAGCCAGGACCUUGAACUCCAGUCAUGGCAGUCCAGAUGCUGACCCCAGGGCAGUCUUCGGUUCAGAGUGCAUACCAGACUAGUCAUUGGCUAAUACCAGUGCAGACUCAGAUGACUCUGCAUGGAUGUAUGAGCCCAUCUUCCACAUGAACCUUGACAUCAUCUUGAAGAAAAAUAGGAGUAUGAGGAAACUAAUUCAAAGACAGGACAUUCAACUCUAAGGAAAUGCAUUACCCCAAAAAUGUCACCGGAAUUAUUGGACAAGACUCAGUUUUCCGGAUUAAACUAAAUUUAGAUUCUCCUCCAUGACCCAGUGGAGUACACAUACUAAAUAAGAAAUAGAAACAGAACGAUACUUUUUGUUCUUUUUCUUCACAUUUUAGUGUACUGUGAAUACAGAUGACCCCACAACAGAAAAAAAUAAUUAGUUGAGUUGAUGUCAAUAUAGAAGGUUCCCUAAUUUGAGAUGAGCAGAAACGCAAAAUUUUUUGUUUCUCUAAAUGAAAGAGGAAAAUCAGGUUAAUAUCUGAUGGGAAAAGAGACUGUCCUUUGGAAGAAGGCCAAGCCCUCCUGAGCCUGUGGAUGCUUGAUCUUGUAUUUUGAGUCUACCUUUUCCUCCUCUUUAUCUUUGAGGUUGAUUCUCAUUGCCUGCCCCAAACUCUGUCUACUGGCCUGUUCAUUGUUGACUUGCCAGUUCCCUGACUAGGAAGGGCCUGACUCCAGUAAGAGCUGCCAAUUGUAGACCCAGGGCUUAUGAUUAGGGUUGCUAGAUAAAAUAUAGGAUGCACAGUUAUGCAUUUCAUUUGAAUUGCAUGUAAACAACAAAUAAUUUUUUGUAUAAGUGUAUCCGAAAUGUUCCCUACAAAUAUUGCAUGAAACAUGCUUUUACUAAAAUAAAAUAUUGUUCAUCUCAAAUUUAAAUGUAACUAGACAUUCUAUAUUUGUAUUUGUUAAUCUUGCAACCCUACUCUAAGCAAUGGCAAACCUAGAUCCCAUGCCAACUUGAAGGAGAAAUGGGUAGCCACAACACCAUUCAUCCACACUGUGCCCCAUAUAGACUGAGAGACAGGGCAGACCUCACUUUUAGUACUCACAGAUGUAAAAUGUAAAUGUAAAUAUAACCAUAAAUGUAAAUAUAUUAAAAACUGAGGUUUUGGGGGAAAAGUGACCUAGAAGGUUGAAAGAGGUUGAAGCUACCCUGGGUCUCAUCAUGGAAGGAAUAGUGCCUUCUCUUCACAUCAACAUUGUUAGACCUCACAAGGAUCUCAUGGGUAGGCAUCAUUAUGACCAUUUCACAAAUGGGAAGCUAAGAUUCAAGGAGCAUAGCAACAGUGAAUCAUAGUGAAAAGUGAACUACAUUUAUAGUCAGUAAGACCAAAAUUUGAAUUUCAGCUUUACCCGGCUGUUACUACCAGAAAUAUCUUAACAUUUUUGAGUCUCUGAUUGUCAUAUUUGAGAAAAAUAAUACACAGACCACUGAGCAGAGGGAGUAUUUCAUGUAUUGAUGUAUACAAAGUACCAAAUAGCACUUAGCAAGCUACUCAAGAAAUGAAAGCCACUGGCAUUAAUUUCUAUGAGGUAAGUUUUCCAUGAACCAUGAUGCCAUGACUGAAAUCAGGGACCUGGUACAUAGUAUAGUCAUGGACACAUGGAGUUACUUAAUAAAGAAGAUUUGAAUUAAUGUCUAGUACUCAGAUAAUUCCUUCACAUUAAGCAUUGAGCUCCUCUAUUGCCCUAUUUUCAAACACAAAUAGUAAUGAGAUACAGUAGUAAUAUCUUGAAUCAUGAACUCUUUUAAUGAAUUAAAUUUAUUGAAUCAACUUUCUCAUCAACAGUAGGCUCUGGCUCAGGGACAUGCCCUGGCUGUGCUAUAAAAGUCUUCUUGGGGAGUGGACCCAAGCUUUGGUCACCUCUGAGUAAAGAUGGGUGGAGAGAGUACUAGAAGAGGGGUUAUCAUCAAGAACAAAGGCAAAGACAUGGAAAAACCUGGAGCACAAAUGAGACUAGUGAAGAUCUGUGAGUCAUUAUAAGGAUAAUUUUGAUGCAAACCACUUUGGUGGCAGAUUAUCUUCCACAGUCCCCACUUCUUUAAGAAUUAAAACAACCGCCACAGUAUUUCCCAAUGAGGCAGACUCACUGUUCAUUUGCCAUCUGGAAUCUUAGUCUUGCAAAGGAGUAAAGUUAGUGAAAUAUAUAUUUGAAUGAAACUCAGCCUCCCUCUUUUACACUGCAAUGAACAGUCAGGAGUCCUGGGAGGUGAGAGGGGGGAGGGCUGAGUGUGAGGGCCAUGAGUUCACACCACAUCUCCCCUCUGUGCUGAGGAUUGUUGCCAUGACAGCCAUUCCCAACUCCAGACUGCCUUUGGAGUCCUGCUAGGUAGGUGGCUUACUCCUGAAGUGGUUUUUGCGUAUGUGGAAAAUCAAAGUUACUACUUGCUCUUUCUUUAAUGUCCAAUGUAAUUAUAACUAUAGUAAGUGAAAUUUCUCUAAACAUUUAAACUUGCAUAACUAAUAAAUUAAAAUGUAAGCUUUACUAAUCCUCUUAUACAUUUAAAAGUUAGUUACAAACCUUAGUCAAGCUCUCUACCUAUCUCAAUAAAAGCAUAAGCCUAAUGUGCCACAUUCCCUUAACUGCUUCAAACACCUUAAAAACAGACGUGAUAUUCACAAAUUAUCAUAUUGAUUAUAAAAUGUAUUGUUAUAUUUAUACUCAACCUGUGAGAAAGUUAGUGAUCC
Molecule: long non-coding RNA, 6509 nt
Filed under: Equus caballus (horse)
Lineage: Eukaryota; Metazoa; Chordata; Mammalia; Perissodactyla; Equidae
Description: lncRNA (ENSECAG00000055601.1)
Source: RNAcentral